CCUACGGGGUGCAGCAGGCGCGAAACCUCCACAAUGUACGAGAGUGCGAUGGGGGGAUCCCAAGUGCUAUUCUUAACGGGAUAGCUUUUCUUAAGUGUAAAAAGCUUUUGGAAUAAGAGCUGGGCAAGACCGGUGCCAGCCGCCGCGGUAACACCGGCAGCUCUAGUGGUAGCUGUUUUUAUUGGGCCUAAAGCGUUCGUAGCCGGUUUGAUAAGUCUCUGGUGAAAUCCUGUAGCUUAACUGUGGGAAUUGCUGGUGAUACUGUUGAACUUGAGGUCGGGAGAGGUUAGCGGUACUCCCAGGGUAGAGGUGAAAUUCUGUAAUCCUGGGAGGACCACCUGUGGCGAAGGCGGCUAACUGGAACGAACCUGACGGUGAGGGACGAAAGCUAGGGGCGCGAACCGGAUUAGAUACCCAGGUAGUCC
This 425-nucleotide ribosomal RNA is filed under the name uncultured Methanobrevibacter sp. RNAcentral's name for it is "bacterial SSU rRNA". It matches the Rfam family "Archaeal small subunit ribosomal RNA", at positions 322 to 747 of the family's 1478-position model. The record is from RNAcentral. Lineage: Archaea; Methanobacteriati; Methanobacteriota; Methanobacteria; Methanobacteriales; Methanobacteriaceae.